CCACCAAUGCUCUCCCCUUGGCUCCCUUCCCCAAAGCCUCUCUACCCUCCACAGAUGGAGCAGUUAUCCCUGACCUAUGGACAGCCAGCCUCCAGCUAAGCUCUCACAACUGUGCUGAUCCAGGAAGAAAAUCAAAGAACCUGAGCAGGAGAGUAAAGAUUAUUUCCCCUUCGACAUGCAGGGGCAGCUACGAAGUAAGGACAGUAGCAACUGAGACUCCCAUGACAAAGUUCUUAAAAAGUGUGAAAUAGUUAAUUUCACGGUAGGCUUUCCUCGUUCUUGGGUUAAACUUGGUGAGUUAACUGACUGAUUAGUUAAUGUAGACCUUCGCUCAUAUGCCGGCACUAUUCUCUCUAGGCUUCCCCCAAGAUCCUCAAAUAGAACCUCUAAGAAAAGCUUUCAGAAUGAGUGGGAGAAACAGCUGAACACCUUGCCACCGUAUUCGGUGGGGAAUUGUGUCAUUACACACAAUUUUAUUAAAUUUGCUUUUCCCCCCACUUCCUUAAUGUUCUUUUGCUCUAAGAAGGAGAGCCUGCAAAGUAUAAAAUUACUUUCGUUAUUUUAGUUUAUGAAGUUUAAAAUUACAGUAAAAAAGGAAGCCAUUCUUGAAUGAUUUGGCAAAGAUUAGGCAUUCUAUAGUCCUAAUAAUUAUAUUUGGGUGUUCAAUUAACUUUUUAACAAUACCUUGCAAUUCAAGUAGCAGAUGGCAAAGAACCAAAUUGCACACGUUAUUUCAUUUUUUAUGAGUGAGAAAUAUUGGAUCCUUUCAAACUCAAGUGGUUCAUAUUGAUGGCUUUAAUUAUUUUAGGGCCUGGCUUGUUUUUCGCUGAACUGUACACAUGGAAUUUAAAAUAACUUUGGAGCCACUGGAAUAUAUUUAUUUUCCACGGCUUUUUCGUUAAGACAAUUGCUUUUUGUAGACAAUGGCUUCUCUAGUUGAUGGUAUCUACCUUUUCCCAACUUAACUGGCUACUCUCAUGCCAUGUCAAUAGUCCAACUGUUGGUGUUUUAAAACUGUAUAUGUUUUAUCUUUAAUCUCAUUAAGUGAUCCAAUUCAUCAUGCUUGCUCUAAUUCAGCCUCAAUAAUAAGUUGCAAAAAAACUGGAACAAUGUUUCUUUUUGGCCCAAGCCUGUUAGAUUUAUUGGUGCAAUUCAUUCCUAUAGAUUAUGAUGUUAAAGUGUACGUUAGUAUGGAGGCUAUUAUGUAGAUAGUUCUUUGUUUAUAUGUAGGCA
This 1233-nucleotide long non-coding RNA is filed under the name Homo sapiens (human). RNAcentral describes it as "HSALNT0159307". The record is from RNAcentral. Lineage: Eukaryota; Metazoa; Chordata; Mammalia; Primates; Hominidae.